Molecule: transfer RNA, 75 nt
Filed under: bacterium
Lineage: Bacteria
Also listed under: 3 other names
Description: tRNA-Val
Rfam family: tRNA
About the family: Transfer RNA (tRNA) molecules are approximately 80 nucleotides in length.
Source: RNAcentral
GGGGGUAUGGCUUAGUUGGUUUAAAGCGCUAGCUCGACAAGCUAGAGAUCACUGGUUCAAGUCCAGUUAUCCCCA